Molecule: long non-coding RNA, 2030 nt
Organism: Passer domesticus (house sparrow)
Lineage: Eukaryota; Metazoa; Chordata; Aves; Passeriformes; Passeridae
Exons: 6
Source: RefSeq, a predicted model, not a curated record
CUCAUCUCAGCUGAAGAAAACAGCACUUGGGAGUCAGAGAUCAAAAGUGUUCAGUGAAGACCUUUAUUAAUGAGGGAAGAGUUUCAUUGGAGUUGGAAGGCAAACACAGAAAAGUAAACACAGCCCACUGGAUUACCACAGUGGCAUAAUUGAUGAGUCCAGCAAUUUUCUGUGAAGUGUUGACAGUGAGCAGACCUUUGUUUGCGGAGAACAAAAUGUGAUCAUCAGUACAUUGCAGAGGCCUGGCACUCACAGUCCCCUAUUAGCUUUAUGCAUUACUGACCUCCACAGGCUUUUCAGGGGAAGACACAGCAGGAAGAGACGAAGGUCAGUACAGAAAGUGUUACUGCUUUUGCAGGCAAGUAUUGUGUAUUUAAUGAUUGUCUUAUACCAUUUUUGCAUGUAAGGCUGGGCUGUUCUUUUUUGGUAAAAUCAUUGGUCCGUAAGAUUUUUUUUCUUAUUUCAGUCCGAGGGUCAGUGAUAGAGAGCACUAUCAAGUUCCACUGGCUCCAUGUCACACGAUGCUUCAAAACCCAAGUGAAGCUGUGAUCAUGUCAAAGUUCUCUGGGUGCCACUGCAUCCAGAUCAAGACACUAUUGUGUGCAUUAUUCUUCCUCAUUGGUUCACGCCAAGUUUGUCUGUGUGUAUGAAACCCAGAUUUGAAGAUGUGAUGUGAUGAAAUGGGCAUGCUACUGUCAUGUGUUGCUACAAGUGUCUGGCUCGAUUCCCAGGCCUGUGGCUCAGUUCUUGAAUGGUCAGGAGGAGGAAACACCACAGAGUUACCGAGAUAUGUCUUAAACAAAACAGCCUCUGGAUUGCUCAACUGAAUGCCCUUAUAAACAUGCUGUUAGGGGAAGUCACCCCUGGUGAUCAUCAGAACAUCAUGACAAUAUGCACAAUUGAUGUACAUGCGAGGGUUGUUGUAGCCACGCUUAUAGCCCAGAAGCUGCCAAGAUCAAGGAUUAUGCUGUUUCUCUGCAUUUCCAAACACCCUCCUAUCCCACAAUGAACUCCCAUUGCUAACCUUUAUUCUCUAUGGAAAGAUGUCAAGGUAUUGAGAGACAUGGAGAUUGAUUCAUCAUUUUAGUCUUGAGUUAGGAGCUGAAACUACUUGAGAUAGAGACUGGACAAUGUCACCUCAGUAGUGCUUAUGCUGACCACUACUGUGUGUAAAGCAAAAAUGUCCAACUUCAAAGCUUACAGCAAGGCUUGUUCUUGAUGGCAACAUAAACAACCUAAUAAAAUCAUAUUCUGCAGCUUUUUCUAAAGCGCUGCAACCCUAAAAGCAUGAACAAAUAUAAAAUUGUGAGACAUGUUUGUUUCUUCAGCUUAAUGCAAUGCUAUCACUCUCCAAGUAUAAUUUUCUAAGUUUCGUAAUAGUUAUAAGAGCAAUAAUUUCCUUGCAUGUGAUAACAACAGCUGAUGAGAAAAGCAGGGAAGUUUGGUCACUUAGACUUCACCAAAUGGGAAGAGGGAGAUAUCAAUUAUCUCUUAGAAAAGCUGUGGGAUCAAUGUGUCGGAGAGGUGUACAAGAAUAAAAAAGGAGGAUGACUCAUGGAGGGGAAGGUGGAAAGACAGAGCAUCUUGAUCAGGAAAGGACAAAAGAAAAAGUCUGAUUCCUCAGAAGCCAAUGGAGGCAGACCUGCAAGCAAAGUACAAGGUGAGCAGUUUACAGCAAUAACAAGAAAUACUGCAGGGUUAGAGGAUCAUGCAGAGAUGGUCACAGAAGAAAGCAGAAGUACUGCAGUGCUAAGGGAAAAGGUUUUUACAAAGUCACAGAUAUCAGAAAGCACAUGCAAGACCAUCACAAAGGUGAAGAAGAUGAAGAUCAAGGGCGGAGAAGAGGACUAAUGAGCCUGGGAGAUUUUGGACAAGCAAGGAGAAGCACUGGUGCCUGCUGCACAGUAUAUGAAAGAAAAGACAUUGAUAAAUCGAAAUGAUUUCUUCAAGCAGAUGAAAAAUAUCACUGGGUAGGAAGUGAAGAAAUUUGCCUUGAUUGCAACCAGAAAAAUCUGGUGAGGUAAAAUGAA